Molecule: transfer RNA, 63 nt
Filed under: Nabis ferus
Lineage: Eukaryota; Metazoa; Arthropoda; Insecta; Hemiptera; Nabidae
Description: tRNA-His
Source: RNAcentral
ACUUGAGUAGUUUAAUUAGAACAAUAAUUUGUGGAGUUAUAGGUAUAAUCUUUAUCUCAGGUA